AGUCCCCUUCGGGGGAUGAGUAGAGUGGCGCACGGGUGAGUAACACGUAGGUAAUCUACCUUCGGGUGGGGAAUAACCCAGGGAAACUUGGGCUAACACCGCAUAAUGCAGCGGCACCACAUGGUGACAGUUGUUAAAGCGGGGGAUUUUAGGACCUCGCGCCUGAAGAGGAGCCUGCGGCAGAUUAGCUAGUUGGUAAGGUAACGGCUUACCAAGGCGACGAUCUGUAACCGGCCUGAGAGGGCGGUCGGUCACACUGACACUGACAUACGGGUCAGACUCCUACGGGAGGCAGCAGUCGGGAAUUUUGGGCAAUGGGCGAAAGCCUGACCCAGCAACGCCGCGUGAAGGAUGAAAUCCCUCGGGAUGUAAACUUCGCAAGAUUGGGAAGAAUUAGUAGGGGUUAAUACCCCCUAUGAUGACGGUACCUUUUGUAAGCUCCGGCUAACUCCGUGCCAGCAGCCGCGGUAAUACGGGGGGAGCAAGCGUUGUUCGGAUUUACUGGGCGUAAAGGGCGCGUAGGCGGUCAGCACAAGUCAGUUGUGAAAUCUCCGGGCUUAACUCGGAAAGGUCAACUGAUACUGUGCGACUAGAGUGCAGAAGGGGCAACUGGAAUUCUCGGUGUAGCGGUGAAAUGCGUAGAUAUCGAGAGGAACACCUGCGGCGAAGGCGGGUUGCUGGGCUGACACUGACGCUGAGGCGCGAAAGCCAGGGGAGCGAACGGGAUUAGAUACCCCGGUAGUCCUGGCCUUAAACGAUG
Molecule: ribosomal RNA, 760 nt
Filed under: uncultured Acidobacteriota bacterium
Lineage: Bacteria; Pseudomonadati; Acidobacteriota
Description: bacterial SSU rRNA
Rfam family: Bacterial small subunit ribosomal RNA
Source: RNAcentral